Long non-coding RNA from Quercus robur (English oak), 1308 nucleotides. RefSeq lists it as uncharacterized. Lineage: Eukaryota; Viridiplantae; Streptophyta; Magnoliopsida; Fagales; Fagaceae. The record is from RefSeq and is a predicted model, not a curated record. The transcript has 2 exons.
UUUUUUUUUUUCAAUUUGCUAUAACUCGAUUAUCCAAAAUUCGAGUUUAAAAUUGAAACUCGAUUUUUAGAAAAUCGAAUUUCAAAACAGGGGCAUUUCUCUAAUUAGUUUAAAAUAUGAGGCAUUUUGUUGAAAAAUUUUGGUGAAAGGGGCAAAUGCCCAUUUUCUCCCUGGCUCCCUGCUGAGUCCCUUAAUUCGUGAAGAGAACAAGUUGGCCUGCGGUGUGAAAGCUGGCCUUGAAAAUCUAAAGAGCAUAGUUUCCACAAUCAAAGAUGUACUUCUUGAAAAGAAGGCUGAUGAUAGUGUUGCGGUCAAAGGUUGGCUCAAAAAGCUCAAAGAUGUCCUCCAUGAUGUUGAUGACGUCUUGGAUGAUUUCUCCACUGAAGCUUUGCAGCGUAAUGUGAUGGCUGGAAAUAAGAUGACGAAGGAGGUACAUUUUCUUUUCAACUAUAUUAUGUGUCCUGCCAAAUUGAAAAGGUACAUCUUAAAUUGAUAAUCUUCAAUGAGGUGGUAAUGGAUCAUAAGAUUGUUGGUGCCCCAAAUAUUCUAACCUGGACCAGAAGGAUCUCACCCCGUUAGCUGCACAGUUGACAACUUCAAGUGCAAGGCAAAUUGGGGCUUGCUCCAUUGAGAUGGCUUUUGAGACUUCCACAACAAAGAACCUCUUCGGUGUGCUGUUAUCUCUACAUAGCAUGGUAUUAGUCAUCCUUGAAGUAGUCUCUCAAUUCUACGUAAGGCUGCUUAGGAUACCACAAUAUUCCAAGCCAUGGGCAAUUACAUAUAUGAGACUUGAACACUUACAUUUUGUGCAGAGGCUAGGUGUGUGUUCGUGUUAUAGUAUCAGUUUCCCAAUGAUAUUUCUACAUCAGCAUAAAAUUUAGCUAUCGCAUAUCAUAGAAAGGGCCCUAGUUAGUUGGGUUCCCUUUCAUCAUGGCCUUUAUCAUCAACUGCCUUCCUCCGUGCUUGGCAACAUUACUCCACAUCGGUGCCUGUUUGGAUUGCCACCUGUAGUGGCUGGUGAUUUGCUGAUCAAAGAGCAGAUUUUGGAGAGAUUAUUCAUCAAUCUAGUGGUUGGUGAAUCACUGAUCAAAGAGUAUUAUUAAGUAGCUAUCCUUGUGGAGAAGUAUUAGUUGUCUUCAACAGUUUUGCUACAUAUAUGAGGACAGUUGAACGUAUCUUUUCAUUUCGUUAGGAAAGUUGAAUUUCCAAUUCUCAGCAUGUUGAGUACUGCAUCGAAUAUUUCAUUUCUUCUUCAAAGUUUAUGAUUUGAAUGUCCAGCUUUGUGUGACAUUUUUUUUGGUGGAUCAA